GCCAAUGGCAGAAGAAAAAGGCAGGGUCAUCCCUGGCUUCCUAGAAUUUCUAUAGACAGACUGUGCAUGAGAGAGAGGGAGGGAGGGAGAGAGGGAGACGGAGACGGAGACAGAGACAGGGCAAGGAAAAGGCUCCAGGCUGAGAUUUUUUUUCUUUUUUAACAGCACAACAAAAGGAACUUUAUGGAGAAAAUACAUCUAUGUGGUCACUAAGAAUCAACAACAACUGGAUGGCACCUAUUCAAUCAAAUUCAGACUGAAGGAACUAAGUAGAAGAGUCCAAUGGGAAUUCCACAGAUGGAUCAAAAAAGGAUUACAGUGACUCAUAACUUGAGCCUCGGUUCUAAGAGGUUUCACCACAUGAACUUCUGAGAUCAUCAUCACUCUUGGACUGCAGAAAUGAAGUGAGGCACAUUCUGGCCAUUGUGACCAACCUGAAAUGAAGAGCCUCUGAAGAACUGCCCUUUUUGCCAGGAAGAACACAAUAAGAAGAGGAAGAUCAACUGGACAAAGAAGAGGCAUUUGCAGGACAUUUGCCUUGCUUCAUUGCUAUUUGAAAGAAUAUGUAACUACCAGUAUCUCUGGAACUAGAGAAUUGAAGAAAUUUAGGCAAGAAAAACCAAAAGCACAGCUUUUAAGUUAUUCUGAGUUACUUCAAUCAUUUGAUUCAAAAGUGGACUACGUGUUGAUACUUCAAAGUAAGUUUGAUUAGUGAUCCUGCUAGGGCUGCCAUCAGAGAUCUUUUGGCUGCUGACCAAAGAAAAGGCCUUAUUGAUUGCAUUGCUCUCUUUGCUAGCUGCUCUUCCAAGGAAGCUCACCUGCUGCCGAAUUCCAUUACCUUUUUUUUUUUCUUUACUCAGGGCUUUUAGUUUUGAUGUUAUUGUUUGUAUUGCUUUUUUUAAUCAUUUAAAAUUUCAGAGGACACACUUGGACAUAGCACUAUCACUUCUUUUGGUCACUGACUCUUAAUAGGAGGGAUUCCCCCCCCAUGUUAAAUUGGAACCUGUCUUCUUUUUUUUUUUUUUAAUUUGAUUUAUAUGCCGCCCUUCUCCGGAGACUCAGGGCGGCUUACAAUGCGCUAAGCAAUAGCCUUCAUCCUUUUGUAUAUUUAUACAAAGUCAGCUUAUUGCCCCCACAACUGGGUCCUCAAUUUACCUACCUUAGAAAGGAUGGAAGGCUGAGUCAACCUUGAGCCUGGCGAGAUUCGAACCUGCAGUAAUUGCAGGCAGCUGGUCUUAAUGACAGGGUGCUUUAGACCACUGUACUACCAAGGCUCUCUUCUUGUAAUUGAAGUCCCUUUAUCCAUGGUUUGCACUCUGAAACAAUAAAAACAGGUCUUGGCUUUCUUCUGUGGUCUAAGUGCUGAAAUGCCCUACCAUGUCCUUCAUUCUCUUUUUUCAAAGCUGAAUAUACCCAGCUCCUUCAAUCUUCCUUGAUAGAACUAGGGUUCCGGUCUCCUGAUCAUCCUCAGUAUCAAAAGUUCCAUUGUUCUGAACCUUCCUUAAAAGGAGUGCCCAAACCAGGCACAAUAUUUGUGGUGGGAUCUAGUAAAUGCCCCUAUAAAGUGGAGUGAUUCUUUCCUGUGAUUGGAAAUGAUGCCCAUUUUUUAUUAAAAAAACAAAACAAAAACAAAUGCUGUAUUUUACCAAACUCUGGAAGUUCACUGAAAUUGGAAUAUAUGAUACUAAAUUUUAAACUAUUCUUAAAACAGUACUUAAAAUGUUUUUAAGCAACAUUUUUGCAUUCCUGUGGUACUGUCAAUUAUAGUGCAAACAAGGUGAAUGAACAUUGAAGACAACCAUUAGGAAUUAGGAAACGUUGGUGUACCACACGCUCCCAUGGCCAUGAAGGUUUGCCCAAAUGCUUCAGUGAUACUGAAAGAAGAAAUGUGUAGGAGAGACUGGCACUUUGAAAAGGACUGGUGGUGUAAACUUUGAGGGCCCUAUCAUGUGUGUAAUGGAGUAUUGCAUGUCCAGCUACUACCAGUGAGCUAUGUCAAUUUCACUUCAUUAUAUGAAAUAAAACUUUUAAAGCUCACCAAGAGGAAUAUAUUAAUAAAAUCCCUUUUUGAAAUUAAUUAUUGGAAAGAUGAAUGGUCAGCAAUUGUUUUAGCCGGCAAAUAAAACUGUAUUCUCUCAAGUAAUCAUUGAUUUGACUAUGUGCUAUCAAGUUGUUUUUAACAUCUAGUGACCACAGAUUUUGUUCCAAAUGAUUGUCCCUAAUCUGUUCUUUCAAAUCUCCCAAUAGUACACUCAUUGUCACUAUAACUAAACCCAUCCACCUUGUUGCUAGUCAUCGACUUCUUCUGUUUCCCUCUACUUUUCCCAGCAUUAGAGUCUUUUCCAGACACCUGGGUCUUUGCAUAUGUCCAAAGUAAGAUAAUUUGAGCCUGGUCAUUUGUGCCUUUAAUGACAAUGCUGGGCUGAUUUGUUUGAUGAUGUAUUAAUUAGUUUUCUUGGCUGUUCACAAUACUUUUGGAAGUCUUUUCCAGCACCAAAAUUCAAAAGUGUCAAUAUUCUUCCUAUCCUGCUUCCUAAAGUCCAACUUUUGCUUCCAUAUAUUUUCUAUGGGUUAUACUCUUAAUUUCUUGUAUUUUCCUGUUAUGCAUUAAUCUUCCAAUGAUACACACAUGCUCCCAGGUUCAGCAUAUGGUCACUCAUGGUCCUGGGACAUGUAUAUUCGCCUUCAUUUACUGACAAACAUAUUUACAGCCCUGGAAAAUUGCCAUGCUCAAAUCACUUUCAACUGAACAACUGAGGCACAACUGGUUGUUUAGAAUAGAUGGAGCAAUACUUAUUUGAGUUGUUGUAUGCUCUGAUGGG
Non-coding RNA from Pantherophis guttatus, 2822 nucleotides. The record is from RefSeq and is a predicted model, not a curated record. Lineage: Eukaryota; Metazoa; Chordata; Lepidosauria; Squamata; Colubridae.